Molecule: long non-coding RNA, 7344 nt
Filed under: Sus scrofa (pig)
Lineage: Eukaryota; Metazoa; Chordata; Mammalia; Artiodactyla; Suidae
Description: lncRNA (ENSSSCG00055004182.1)
Source: RNAcentral
CGGCAUAUGGAGGUUCCCAGGCUAGGGGUCUAAUUGGAGCUACAGCUGCUGGCCUACACCACAGCCACAGCAACUCGAGAUCUGAGCCAUGUCUGUGACCUGCAGCACAGCUUAUGGCAGCACUGAAUCCUUAACCCACUGGGUGAGGCCAGGGAUCAAACCUGCAACCUCAUGUUUCCUAGUCGGAUUUGUUUCCACUGCACCACAGUGGGAACUCCUAGAAAAAUUAGAUUCUUAAGGGACCUGGCACCCCAGUAUGGUGCUAAACCCCUCUGUCCCUCCCCAGGUCUAGGGGUGUGGUGGCCUGAUCUUGGGAGGCCUACUGCCAGGAGGGGGUCCCCACCUCCCCUCUCAUAUGCAGUCCUGGCCAGCCUGACCUGGCAUGGUGCUGGCUGACUGCCCCACGUCAGUUCUUUUAUCUCAUCCGGGGUCAGCUCUGGGUGGGCAGCCUUGGCACAGCACCCCUAUGCUCUUCCCCUCCCAUGGUCAUCUAGCUCUGCCUGCGUCUUUUGUCUCUCUCACGGCCCCAGGCCCCUAACUAAGCUGAGUAUAGCUGCUCUCCUCUCUCUGGUGGAGGAAUUGCCUUUCCCUAGAGAUGCCUUGCUUCCGCUGAUUGAUUUGCUGCAGGUGAAACCCGCCCGGUCUGCUGCUUGUCGGAGCCACUUUGCAAAGUGCUUCCUCUGCAGUGGCCUUGACAACGAGGAAGGGAGCUGGCGAGCCCUGAGGUGGGUGCGCAGCAGUGGUGGGCCAUGGUUUUUGGCUCGAUGUCCCUGAUGCCUUGUAUAUUAAAGAUUUUCACCACAUCUGAACAUAGACAGCAGGAGAGGAGAGCAGGGGUAGAGGAGUUUGGACCUUCAACACGCGUGUUUCCGUGGUUGCCAUCACCUUGACCUGCUGGGCAGGCAGGUUUGGGGAGCGGAGGGGCUCUGGGAGCAGAGACAGGCCCCAGAACCCCCAGCUGCGCCCACACCCCCUCCAUCACCUGCCCCAUUGUCUUUCCCUUCUGAGGCCUUGGCUUUCCCAGCUCACCACGUGGGGGCCGUUCCUGUCGAGGCUUGUAAAAAUCAGCCUUUGAGAAAGAAAAGGGAACUUUUCCUGUUGAAUGUUGGCUCUGUGUGUGUGUGUGUGUGUGCGUGUUUGUGGGUGUUUUUAAUGGAUUUUAUUUUUGUGAAAUACCUUGACAAUUAUGUAGCAAAAUUCGCUUUUAUCUCCCAGUCAACCUUUUGGUUCCAGAGUCAACCCUGGGUGUCGCUAAUUGGAAGAAUUCUCUCCUGGGUAUGUGAACAGAGAGGUGCCAUCCUCAAGAGUUGAGGUGGUGGAGAGGGUUGGGAGAAACUGAAGUUCGAUACAUUUCCAUAAAGUUUCCUUCCUGCAGUUAAAAGGUAGGAGACAUGGAGCCGAGGCUGUGUGUCCCCGAGGGAACUGGCACGAGGCCCCUCCCUCGGCGCCCUUGCUGCUGCUUUAUCUGAAUCUGUUCACACUCGUGUUUGUGGGCUUCUUCUGUAACGCCACAGCUGAAACAGCACGUUCUUUUCCUUUUUCUGCUUUCAGUUCAUUGUGUAAAUGGUUCAUUUUUUUCUCUUGUGAGCUCCGGUGACUGUGUCAGGGCUUCUGUAGCAAACAGUCACCCCUCGUGGGCAGAAAAACAAAACCCAAGAAGAGUCUUGCUCACCGGAGGCCCCAAGCCUCAGGCCUGCGCCAUCCAGAGCAAGGCCGUUUAUGCUCCGCUGUUGAGAAGCACCUUUCCACCAGCUGUAUUCAACACUACAAUGCAGUUUGAAAACUAUAUUUGCAUCCAAGACAAUAAAAGGCCAUAUUUUUUGAAAACCCUGUGAUUUGUCGUUCCCCUUGAGCUAUGGAGGAGGUGACAAAAUGAGAUCAGGGCAAAGUGAUGCCCACAAGUGGCUCCCUCAUUCUAGGGUUGGGGGUGUGGGUGCAGCCUGGCGGUGCUGUGGGUGAGGAGACAGACCCAGGAUGGCAGGGGCUCAGGAGGUAUGUCCUGGAGGACAGUGGGCCUAAAGAGAAGCCUCUGCUGAACGGCCCAGCAGGAUGGACUCUACCUGGGAAUGCACCAGGCUGUGGUAUUGCAGGCCUUUCCCAGGUGGACAGAGUCCAGUGAUGCUUGUGCAGACUUGCACACUUCCUAGUGUGGAACAUGGGCAAAUAGCACCCCCCCGCACUCUUUACAGGAGGUGGUGAGGUUCCCAUGUAGUCGGAUGCAUCCAGUGCUUAAGAGAGCGCAUGUUACCACCAACGUGGCCAGCACCAGCCCCUGCACAGAAUGGGGUCCAUGUUGUGGAGGUGCCCGGGUGGCUGUGGGCUCCCUGCUGACGCUGACCCAGUACUGUAGGCAGAGAACACUAGGAGGUUGACCGCAGAGAUGUCCCUUUGUUGUGCUGGGAUUUUGAUCUCUGUUUAAUCUAGAAGCUUUUCUUUUGGCUCUGCCAUCUUUCCGUGCCCGCCCCCCUGCCCCCCAGCGCCUUGUGUCUGGGCAGGGUGACCCGGUAAGAUGAACCAUGCCAUCCCAUCUCAGGCUGCUGGCUUAUUCACUGAACAGCUGCCCAGAUCCAUAUCUCGACUAAAAUGCAGUGGGCUGAUACACAGGCUCUUGUCUGAUCAAACCCCCACUCCUCCCCCAAGGGAAAAAGUCUUCAUGACACAAAGCAAGAUUUGGGGCCUUGAGAACCGGGGGCCCUAGAGGGAGAGGUAAGUGGUUGUGCCUUUGGGUUGGAGGGAGCUCAACUAUUGAGAUAAUCAGUGGCUGUCCAGUUGGUUCUUCUAACUUGGGAGCCCACCCCAUGUCAUGUACAGAACCUUAAAAGAUAACUUGGGGCAUAAUUAGAAGAAGGGAGAGGUCGGAUCUGGGGAAGGGAGGAGAAGAGUCUGGAGGGGGAGGCCAGGGCACUGGAGCUUCAAUUCCUCAGCGUCAGGUGCUGGGCCACCUCGGGGACAGGGACACCCCUGGACAGUUCUCAAGUUUUUCCUCACAGAGGAAGAAAUGGAAGUUGUUUCCAAGGUGACAGGGCUGCACUGGUCAGAGUGAGAAGGCUGGUUUCAUUUUUUUAUCCUGCAAAGGGCCUCUCCAUCCACCAAGUUGGAAGAUUAUCCAUGGUAUCCUCCCCUUCCCUCCCCUUCCCCGACACCAAGCGCUGUUAAGUCUGUCCUCCAGAUUUCUUCCAAACACAUAGUCCACUUCACUCCGUCCCCAGUGUCCCCAGUACCCAAGUCCAAGUUGCCACUGUUUCUCAAGUUCACACAACAGUGUCCUCCAUCCCUUCUGUCUGGUGGCCUCUUCUGGUCAGGGAACCUGAGGAAGCCCACCCCCCACAGGCCUCCCCACCGUCCUUCCAGGGCUUCCAGAUAAAGGCCAGUCCCCCCGACCCCACUGAGUCCAUCCUGCCCGCGCCGGCCUUUCCAACCUCAUUUCUGCUUUUUUCAGUUCCUUGAAUAUGCUGUGCUUUGCUUUGUUUCACUCUAGGUUUUCCCAGGUCUCCUUCCUCUGCCCACAUCUUUCCCCUUCUCUACCCCUUUUCCUAUCAAGCUCCUACUCUCUCUUCCCAUCUUAGUCCUUACAUGUCAGGGAGUUCUGGUUGUGGCUCAGCAGUAACGAACCCGACUAGAAUCCAUGAGGUUGAGGGGUGGAUCCCUGGCCUCGCUCAGUGGUUUAAGGAUCCUGCAUUGCCGGUUGGAUCCCUGGCCUCGCUCAGUGGUUUAAGGAUCCUGCAUUGCCGUGAACUGCGGUGUAGGGCACAGAUGCAGCUCGGAUCCCAAGUUGCUAUGGCUAUGGUGUAGGCCAGAGGCUACAGCUCUCAUUCUACCCCUAGCCUGGGAACUUCCAUAUGCCGUGGGUGCAGUCCUAAAAAGACCAAAAAAAUAUAUAUAUAUUAAAUGUCAGAAACCAGCCUUAGUGUGUGUGUCAUCCCCCAAACCCCCCAAAACACAGGUCCGCACGUGCACGUGCACAUACACACACAUACAUGCACACAUCCAGUCAGGCCUCGGAGCACCUCAUAUUUUCUCAGGGUGCAGGUCAUGUUUGUGAUUAUCGUUCACCUUCCCCACCAGGUUCCGAGACCCUUUGGGACAAGGUGCCUGUGGCCACUGCUGUGCCCAGCUCAGAAUUGUCACAUGGCAGGUGCCCCUGGGAACCUGUUCUGUGCGCCCUUGGCCCUGUGCCUGCCGCCCUUCCCCAUCUCCGAGUCAGACAGGCGCAGGGUGUGGGGAGCCUGACCAGAUAGGACAGGAGGAGAGAGGAGGGGGCAACUAUUGGAUGCAGACGUCAAACUCAGGUAGGUGUUGAGCAAGGUUUAAAGGUUGGAUCCUAUGAUUACAGAUUUAAUAUUAAACUUUAGUAAUUCAGGUUGUAAAUGUGAUGAGAAUAGCCUCCAAACGGCAUUUAAAAGCAUUUCAUCUUGGACUUGGCCUUGAUUCUAUAGAAUACAGUUUACCAUCUUUAGUAGCUCUUUUUUUGUUGUGUCAGGCUCUGAAUUUAGCCUGGUGUAGGGUGGUGUGAUGACAUGUAAUGUGUGCUUUUACCUUUUUAUUUCAGAACAUUGCCAGCAUACACAGAAGCAGAGAGAAGAGUAUAAUGAAACCUCACGUGCCCGACCUCCACUUGAACAAUCACCAACUCAGGGCCAAUUUUGUUUGAUACAUACCUCACCUCACUCCCAUUAUUUAGAAGCAAAGCCCAGAUGCCUUAGGUAUUUAAUUAGUUAAUAGCAAAUGUGCUUUUGAGUUUCAUUUCCAGAAUUGCAUCCAUGCCUGCAGUGUGGGUCGUUUGAAGGCUCAGGAAGGCUCUGCGAAAACUACCGAGUCAUAGUUAAUGAGAAACCUGGGGAAUGAGGAGUUCUGAUUGAUCAGAUUUUCUGUUUCAAUAAAUCAUGAGCUAGAAAACCCUUAUUGUUUAGAGAGGGGAAGCACCUUCUAAGAUAAAAGUCUACUUGCCUGCCUUAAUAGGUAUGUACAGCAAACAGUCUAAUCUCUUGAUCUAGUCUGACUGAUUUUGGCUCCUGGGGGAUGUGACAGAAUAGAGCCGGGCAGUACCGUGACAGGUCUGGGGUGGGGGGGCUUCCCACCUGCCCCCCACCUGUCCAGAAUCCAACCUGUUGGUGUCUCCCCAACCCCCAGCCCGCUCCUCAGCGUACCUGAGCAACCUCCCCCAAAUACAAAGGAUCCUCUGGUUCUGUGCCUCCUCCCCCGACACGUGCCACAAGUUCAUCCAGUUUUUCCCUCUUCCCACCAGUCUGCCAUCAAGAUGCGUGUGCUGAAGGCCGAAUUUGAACUCAGCUCAGGGGACAUAACGGUGACUUUAUUGACAAAGAGGACAAAACCGAUCUUGAUACUGAGUGAAGGGAGACAUACAGCAUGCCAUAGAAGAAGAGUGGCAGGGACCACUCCUGGGUGGGAGGAUCGCCCAGUAGGUGGCUCCCAGCCAGGACCCAGCGAGACACCAGCGUCUGCCAGGCAGAGGGCGAGACCCACGGGGGGAGCUCCCUUCACAGAAGACGUGUUGACCAACCACAACGCCUCCCUGUGCGUCCACCUUUGCUUUUGUCUAUUUACUUAUUUACUUAGUUUGCUUUUUAGGGCCACACCAGCAGUAUAUGGAGGUUCCCAGGCUAGAGGUCAGAUUGGAGCUGCAGCUGCUGGCCUACACCACAGCCACAGCAACACAGGAUCCUUAGCACACUGAGUGAGGCCUCAAAAGACUGCACAGUGGGGAUUAUUACCCUCAUUUUACACAGGAGGAAACUAAUGCUUACCUCCCAUGGUGGAGCAGUCAGCAAACUGGCCGAAGACGGGAAGUUCUUCAACUAAUAAAGGCGUCUAAGAACACCCCACAGUAAACAUAUUUUUAAUGAUGAAUGGCUGAAUACUUUCCAUGUGUAAUAGGGGCAAGGCAAGGAUGUCUGUUGUCACCAGGACCAUACAGCAUUUUUCUGGAAGGUUUAGUCGGAUCAGGUUAGGAAGACAUUCCCAUUAGAAAGGAGUGAAAAUGCUCUGUGCAAAUGACAUGAUGCUUUAUAUGGAAAACCCUAAAGAGUACACACACACAUACACAUGUAAGAGCCAGUAAGUGAGUUCAACAAGGUCCCAGGAAACAAGAUCAAUAUGCAAAAUUCAGCUGCAUUUCUGAACUCUAGCAAUGAACAACUCAAAAAUGAAACUAAGGAAACUCUUCCAUGUACAAUAACAUCAAAGAGAAUAAAAUGUUUUAGGAUAAAUUUAAUCAGGGAAGGGCAAGACUUCUACACUGACACCUGUAAAACGUUGUUGAUUAUUCAGCCAUAAAAAGGGAUUAAUUGAUACAACAACAUGGGUGAACUUCAAACACAUGAUGCUAUGUGGAAGGAACCAGACACAAAAGGCCACGUACUGUAUGAUCCCAUAUAUGUGAAAUGCCCAGCAUAGUAAAUCCAAAGGGAUAGAAAACAGAUUGGUAUUGGCAGCAAGGAGGCGGAGCAGAAGUGUACUUAAUGGAUAUGGGGUGUCCUUUUGGGGUGAUGCCAUUUUGGAACUUCAUAUACGUGCCAGUUACAUUGUGAAUGUCCUAAGUGCCACUGAAUUGUACAGUUUAAGAUGCUUCAUUUCACGUUACAUGAAUUUCACCUCAAUUUUUGUAAAUGUUGAAAGAAACUAAAGAAGGCCUAAAUAAAUGGAAAAACAUCUUGUGUUCAUGGAAUAGAAGAUUAUAUCGCCCAGAUGGCAUUACUCCCCAGAGUGAUCUACAGAUUCAGUGUAAUCUGCCUUCAAAAUUACGACUUCCGGAGUUCCUGUGGCUCAGAGGAAAUGAAUCUGAUUAGCAUCCAUGAGGACAUAGGUUCGAUCCCUGGCCUCACUCAGGUGGUUAAGGAUCCAGCGUUGCCAUGAGCUGUAGUGGGUUGCAGACAAGGCUUGGAUCCGGCGUUGCUGUGGCUGUGGUGUAGGGUGGCAGCUGCAGCUCCGAUUCAACCCCUAGCCUGGGAACCUCCAUAUGCCAUGGGUGAGGCCCUAAAAAGACCAAAAAAAAAAAAAAUUGCACCAUCCUUUGUAGCAGAAAUGAACAAAGUGGUCCUAAGAUUCAUCUGCAAAUGCAAAGGACUCAGAAUAGUCAAAACAAUCUUGAAAAAGUACAAGUUUGAGGGCUUACACUUCCCAAUUCAAAAACUUCCUACAAAGCUACAGUAAUUAAGACAGUAUGAUACUGGCAGAUCGUUAUGUGAAAAUAUUCAUAGAAGCAUUAUUCAUAAUAGCCAAAUUCACUGGGACGCAGGUUUGAUCCCCAACCCAGAUCAGCGUUGCACGUUGUAACUGUGGCUCAGAUCUGAUCUUUAGCCCAGGAACUCCAUAUGGGGUGGGGUG